UUAAGUGACGAAGCGUAUACGGUGGAUGCCUUGGCAGUUAGAGGCGAUGAAGGACGUGUAAGUCUGCGAAAAGCUGUGGUGAGCCGACAAAAUGCAUUUGAGCCACAGAUGUCCGAAUGGGGAAACCCACCUGUUUACAGGUAUCGUUACAUGAAUACAUAGUGUAACGAGGCGAACGAGGGGAACUGAAACAUCUAAGUACCCUUAGGAAAAGAAAUCAAACGAGAUUCCCCUAGUAGCGGCGAGCGAACGGGGAACAGCCCUUAAGCUGUUUAGUGUGUAGUGGAAUCCUUUGGGAAGAGGAGCGAUACAGGGUGAUAGCCCCGUACACAAAGCGUGCUUUACAGUGAAAUCGAGUAGGUCGGGACACGUGUUAUCUUGACUGAAUAUGGGGGGACCAUCCUCCAAGGCUAAAUACUCCUAACUGACCGAUAGUGAACCAGUACCGUGAGGGAAAGGCGAAAAGAACCCCUGUGAGGGGAGUGAAAUAGAACCUGAAACCGUAUACGUACAAGCAGUGGGAGCCCUUCGGGGUGACUGCGUACCUUUUGUAUAAUGGGUCAGCGACUUAUAUUUAGUAGCAAGGUUAAGCGAAUAGCGGAGCCGUAGCGAAAGCGAGUGUUAACUGCGCGUUGAGUUGCUAGGUAUAGACCCGAAACCCGGUGAUCUAGCCAUGAGCAGGUUGAAGGUUGAGUAACAUCAACUGGAGGACCGAACCCACUGACGUUGAAAAGUCAGGGGAUGACUUGUGGCUGGGGGUGAAAGGCCAAUCAAACCGGGAGAUAGCUGGUUCUCCCCGAAAUCUAUUUAGGUAGAGCCUCGGACGAAUUCCAUUGGGGGUAGAGCACUGUUAAGGCUAGGGGGUCAUCCCGACUUACCAACCCUUUGCAAACUCCGAAUACCAAUGAGAACUAUCCGGGAGACACACGGCGGGUGCUAACGUCCGUCGUGGAGAGGGAAACAACCCAGACCGCCAGCUAAGGUCCCAAAAUAUUGCUAAGUGGGAAACGAUGUGGGAAGGCACAGACAGCUAGGAGGUUGGCUUAGAAGCAGCCACCCUUUAAAGAAAGCGUAAUAGCUCACUAGUCGAGUCGGCCUGCGCGGAAGAUGUAACGUGUUUACAUGCUGGGUAGGGGAGCGUUGUGUAAGUGGAUGAAGGUGAGUUGUAAAGCUUGCUGGACAUAUCACAAGUGCGAAUGCUGACAUGAGUAACGAUAAUGGGAGUGAAAAACUCCCACGCCGGAAGACCAAGGUUUCCUGUCCCAUGCUAAUCAGGGCAGGGUAAGUCGGCCCCUAAGGCGAGGCAGAAAUGCGUAGUCGAUGGGAAACGGAUUAAUAUUUCCGUACUUAUAUAAUCAGUGAUGGAGGGACGGAGAAGGCUAGGCAAGCUUGGCGUUGGUUGUCCAAGUGAAAGUGCGUAGACCGAGAACUUAGGUAAAUCCGGGUUCUUAAAGUCGAGACACGAGACGAGCCACCAAGGUGGUGAAGUUGUUGAUGCCCUGCUUCCAGGAAAAGCUUCUAAACUUAUGAUUAUAUGAACCGUACCCCAAACCGACACAGGUGGUCAGGUAGAGAAUACUAAGGCGCUUGAGAGAACUCGGGUGAAGGAACUCGGCAAAAUUGUACCGUAACUUCGGGAGAAGGUACGCCUCUGUUUGUGAACACUUCGCGUGGUAAGCAAAUGGAGGCCGCAGUGACCAGGUGGCUGGGACUGUUUAUUAAAAACACAGCACUCUGCAAACUCGUAAGAGGACGUAUAGGGUGUGACACCUGCCCGGUGCCGGAAGGUUAAUUGAUGGGGUUAGUUUUCGGACGAAGCUCUUGAUCGAAGCCCCGGUAAACGGCGGCCGUAACUAUAACGGUCCUAAGGUAGCGAAAUUCCUUGUCGGGUAAGUUCCGACCCCGAGACUCAGUGAAAUUGAAAUCGCAGUGAAGAUGCUGUGUACCCGCACCUAGACGGAAAGACCCCGUGAACCUUUACUACAGCUUGGCACUGAACAUUGAACCUACAUGUGUAGGAUAGGUGGGAGGCUUUGAAGCACAGUCGCUAGAUUGUGUGGAGCCGUCCUUGAAAUACCACCCUUGUAUGUUUGAUGUUCUAACAUUGUUCCCUUAUCGGGAAUGUGGACAGUGUCUGGUGGGUAGUUUGACUGGGGCGGUCUCCUCCCAAAUAGUAACGGAGGAGCACGAAGGUUAGCUAAUCACGGUCGGACAUCGUGAGGUUAGUGCAAUGGCAUAAGCUAGCUUAACUGCGAGACAGACACGUCGAGCAGGUACGAAAGUAGGUCAUAGUGAUCCGGUGGUUCUGUAUGGAAGGGCCAUCGCUCAACGGAUNNNUGAAGUCGGUCCCAAGGGUAUGGCUGUUCGCCAUUUAAAGUGGUACGCGAGCUGGGUUUAGAACGUCGUGAGACAGUUCGGUCCCUAUCUGGUGUGGGCGUUGGAUGAUUGAUGGGAGCUGCUCCUAGUACGAGAGGACCGGAGUGGACGAACCGCUGGUGUUCGGGUUGUCAUGCCAAUGGCAUUGCCCGGUAGCUAUGUUCGGAACGGAUAACCGCUGAAAGCAUCUAAGCGGGAAGCCGGCCCAAAGAUGAGUCAUCCCUGACCUUUAAGGUCUGGAAGGGUUGUUAUAGACGAUGACGUUGAUAGGCAGGGUGUGGAAGCGUUGUAAGGCGUUAAGCUAACCUGUACUAAUUGCCCGAGAGGCUUAACCAU
Molecule: ribosomal RNA, 2712 nt
Filed under: hydrothermal vent metagenome
Description: bacterial LSU rRNA
Rfam family: Bacterial large subunit ribosomal RNA
Source: RNAcentral